This 72-nucleotide transfer RNA is filed under the name Loxodonta africana (African savanna elephant). It matches the Rfam family "tRNA". From Rfam's summary of the family: Transfer RNA (tRNA) molecules are approximately 80 nucleotides in length. Their secondary structure includes four short double-helical elements and three loops (D, anti-codon, and T loops). Further hydrogen bonds mediate the characteristic L-shaped molecular structure. tRNAs have two regions of fundamental functional importance: the anti-codon, which is responsible for specific mRNA codon recognition, and the 3' end, to which the tRNAs corresponding amino acid is attached (by aminoacyl-tRNA synthetases). tRNAs cope with the degeneracy of the genetic code in two manners: having more than one tRNA (with a specific anti-codon) for a particular amino acid; and 'wobble' base-pairing, i.e. permitting non-standard base-pairing at the 3rd anti-codon position. Lineage: Eukaryota; Metazoa; Chordata; Mammalia; Proboscidea; Elephantidae. The record is from Rfam by way of RNAcentral.
CUCUGGGUGGUGUAAACAGUUAACAUACUCAGCUGCUAACUGAAAAGUUGGUAGUUCAAGUCCACCCAGAGA